This 107-nucleotide small nuclear RNA is filed under the name Dasypus novemcinctus (nine-banded armadillo). Lineage: Eukaryota; Metazoa; Chordata; Mammalia; Cingulata; Dasypodidae. The record is from RNAcentral.
GGGCUCACUUAGGCAGCACAUACACUAAAAUUGGAAUGAUACAGAGAAGAUUAGUUUGGCACCUGUGCAGGGAUGAUAUGCAAAUUCAUGAAGCAUUCCAUAUUUUU